ACAACAUUCGGACCGUCGGUCUACCGAGCAAUAUCAUCCGCUCGGUGGAAGAUCUUCCCUUAGUUGU
Molecule: microRNA precursor, 67 nt
Filed under: Bombyx mori (domestic silkworm)
Lineage: Eukaryota; Metazoa; Arthropoda; Insecta; Lepidoptera; Bombycidae
Description: mir-2774 microRNA precursor family
Rfam family: mir-2774 microRNA precursor family
Source: Rfam by way of RNAcentral